ACGGAAGGCAGCAGUGGGGAAUAUUGGGCAAUGGGCGAAAGCCUGACCCAGCAACGCCGCGUGAAGGAAGAGGGUCUUCGGAUUGUAAACUUCUUUUAUAAGGGACGAAGAAAGUGACGGUACCCUAUGAAUAAGCCACGGCUAACUACGUGCCAGCAGCAGCGGUAAUACGUAGGUGGCAAGCGUUAUCCGGAUUUACUGGGUGUAAAGGGCGCGUAGGCGGGGAUGCAAGUCAGAUGUGAAAUCCAUGGGCUUAACCCAUGAACUGCAUUUGAAACUGUAUCUCUUGAGUGCUGGAGAGGUAGACGGAAUUCCUUGUGUAGCGGUGAAAUGCGUAGAUAUAAGGAAGAACACCAGUGGCGAAGGCGGUCUACUGGACAGUAACUGACGCUGAGGCGCGAAAGCGUGGGGAGCAAACAGGAUUAGAUACCCUGGUA
RNAcentral lists this ribosomal RNA (437 nucleotides) under uncultured Oscillospiraceae bacterium. RNAcentral describes it as "partial 16S ribosomal RNA". It matches the Rfam family "Bacterial small subunit ribosomal RNA", at positions 341 to 792 of the family's 1533-position model. Lineage: Bacteria; Bacillati; Bacillota; Clostridia; Eubacteriales; Oscillospiraceae. The record is from RNAcentral.